RNAcentral lists this ribosomal RNA (504 nucleotides) under uncultured Sphingobacteriales bacterium. Its description in RNAcentral is "bacterial SSU rRNA". It matches the Rfam family "Bacterial small subunit ribosomal RNA", at positions 903 to 1382 of the family's 1533-position model. The record is from RNAcentral. Lineage: Bacteria; Pseudomonadati; Bacteroidota; Sphingobacteriia; Sphingobacteriales.
CGCCUUGCCAGCCCGCUCAGAAACUCAAAGGAAGUGACGGGGGCCCGCACAAGCGGUGGAGCAUGUGGUUUAAUUCGAUGAUACGCGAGGAACCUUACCUGGGCUCAAAUGUAUGUUGACGUAUUUCUGAAAGGGAUACUUCUUCGGACAAUAUACAAGGUGCUGCAUGGUUGUCGUCAGCUCGUGCCGUGAGGUGUCGGGUUAAGUCCCAUAACGAGCGCAACCCCUACCUUUAGUUGCCAUCAGGUAAUGCUGGGGACUCUAAAGGAACUGCCUACGCAAGUAGUGAGGAAGGCGGGGAUGACGUCAAAUCGGCACGGCCCUUACGUCCAGGGCUACACACGUGCUACAAUGGCCGAUACAGAGGGCAGCUACCUGGUGACAGGAUGCAAAUCUCCAAAGUCGGUCUCAGUUCGGAUCGGAGUCUGCAACCCGACUCCGUGAAGUUGGAUUCGCUAGUAAUCGCGCAUCAGCCAUGGCGCGGUGAAUACGUUCCCGGGCCUU